RNAcentral lists this ribosomal RNA (776 nucleotides) under uncultured Chloroflexota bacterium. Its description in RNAcentral is "bacterial SSU rRNA". It matches the Rfam family "Bacterial small subunit ribosomal RNA", at positions 61 to 852 of the family's 1533-position model. The record is from RNAcentral. Lineage: Bacteria; Bacillati; Chloroflexota.
GUCGAACGGAGACAGUAGCAAUAUUGUCUUAGUGGCGAACGGGUGAGUAACGCGUUGGUGACCUGCCCCGAAGAGGGGGAUAACAGUCCGAAAGGAUUGCUAAUACCCCAUGUGGUCAUAUGGAUUAGAUGCCUAAUGACUAAACGGAUUUAUUCGCUUCGGGAGGGGCCUGCGUCCCAUCAGCUAGUUGGUAAGGUAACGGCUUACCAAGGCGAUGACGGGUAGGGGACCUGAGAGGGUGGCCCCCCACAAUGGAACUGAAACACGGUCCAUACACCUACGGGUGGCAGCAGUAGGGAAUAUUGGUAAUCUGGGAAACCGGGAACCAGCAACGCCGCGUGCACGAUGAAGGCCUUCGGGUCGUAAAGUGCUUUUUGAAGGGAUGAGGAAGGACAGUACCUUCAGAAUAAGCCUCGGCUAACUACGUGCCAGCAGCCGCGGUAAAACGUAGGAGGCGAGCGUUAUCCGGAUUUACUGGGCGUAAAGCGUGUGUAGGCGGUUUGAUAAGUUGGAUGUGAAAGCUCCCGGCUCAACUGGGAGAGGUCGUUCAAAACUAUCAGACUAGAGAGUGGUAGAGGGAGGUGGAAUUCCGCGUGUAGUGGUGAAAUGCGUAGAUAUGCGGAGGAACACCAGUGGCGAAAGCGGCCUCCUGGCCCAUUUCUGACGCUCAGACACGAAAGCUAAGGUAGCAAACGGGAUUAGAGACCCCGGUAGUCUUAGCUGUAAACGAUGUGAACUUAGUGUCGGUGGGGUUAAAUCCAUCCGGUAUCUGAAGC